This 389-nucleotide unclassified non-coding RNA is filed under the name fungal sp. Its description in RNAcentral is "partial internal transcribed spacer region". The stretch from base 1 to 46 matches the Rfam family "Eukaryotic small subunit ribosomal RNA", at positions 1786 to 1831 of the family's 1831-position model. Lineage: Eukaryota; Fungi. The record is from RNAcentral.
AAGUCGUAACAAGGUUUCCGUAGGUGAACCUGCGGAAGGAUCAUUAAAACGUAUCCACGUAUCAACCAAUCGUGAACUGUAACCUCUUUGGAACUUAACGGAAUGGCCUCUUCGAUUCCGCUUCGUGAUGAAAAGGCAAACACUCUUCGGAAUGUUUGUCCUUUUGGAAUUGAUUGGGUCGCGCUUUCGGGCGACGUGUUCUAAAGUGGUUCUUUUACCUCAUCACGGGUAAACCUCAUUCAAACCAUUAUUAACACUUUGUACCUUUCUUGAACUGAACUGUACGUUUUGAGCGCGCCUUCGGGUGACUCACUCGUAACAUUUUAUCUAAAUUAAGAACAACUCUUAACAACGGAUAUCUUGGUUCUCGUAAAGAUGAAGAACGCAGC